GCAAAUUGCCACAAGGCGUGACCUCAUUUCGGGAACACAUCUUGAAAAUGUAUUUAAUGCUUUCUCUGUGCUCGGAGACAAUGGGUUAGGGUUUGGGGUGCUCCUAACUGACCUUUGGCUUGGGAGAAAUGUGGGCUGCCUCCUGUGAUCGUCAGCUAGUCUCAGAGUGAACAAGAGAAGCGGAUGCUAUUGACGAGCGCACAGGCUGCCUUACCCCUGAUAUUAUGUCUAAAAAUACAUCCACACAGAGGCAGGCAUAUGCUCGCGCCUUGGUGUGAAGGAGCUCUCGCCUGGGUGUCUUGCUCUACCCAUCUAAAUUCUGGAGUGAGGAGUUAAAUUAUUCCGGAAGCCCUGCCAGUUUUUGAUUUGCCAUUGUCUCUGCCUCUUCGUUGCCUUUGAAUGGGACCCUUGAUACGGGGCUUUCAGAGACCAGCCGGUGCUGAUGGGGUCCGUGACUUGACGAUGGCGCCUGCUCGUUCCCGUUGUGUUCUGUCUGAGGCAUGCUUUUCUUUCCUUUUUGGGAGGCAGAGAGCACUGGGCAGAGGUUGCACUUGGCACAUUGCAACGCCGUUGUCACUGCUGUGGCUGUUACUCCCCUCGGCAAGCGCCAAGGAGCAAACAGGACGUAAAGAUGCUGCUGUUCCAUCUUCCAUUGUUCUCAUCUUUCCAAGACUGUGGUGCUCCAGGAGAUCUGCCCUGUGGAAGGGGAACCCAGAUCUAGACUAUCGGUCAGAUGAAGUCAACUGA
RNAcentral lists this long non-coding RNA (747 nucleotides) under Zalophus californianus (California sea lion). RNAcentral's name for it is "lncRNA (ENSZCAG00015009379.1)". Lineage: Eukaryota; Metazoa; Chordata; Mammalia; Carnivora; Otariidae. The record is from RNAcentral.